UCCUGUACCAUUUUGAUAUUUAUUAAUAAACUGAUAGGGAUCCACGCCAAACUCCCCAUCUAACAAGGUGGCUUUAUAUUUAAAUCCCUAGUUUUCAAUCUUUUUUUAAUUUAUUCAUGCAUAUUUUUUAAAAAAUUUUAAAAAACCUAAACAAGCCGUGUCUUGGCACGGUCGAAACAUACCGUGCCUUGGCACGGCCUAUUUCAAGGGGGUCGA
RNAcentral lists this long non-coding RNA (216 nucleotides) under Elaeis guineensis (African oil palm). RNAcentral's name for it is "long non-coding RNA (EGUI_LNC054013)". Lineage: Eukaryota; Viridiplantae; Streptophyta; Magnoliopsida; Arecales; Arecaceae. The record is from RNAcentral.